GUGUUGUGAGUCCUCUCUAUGGAAUCCUCAUGAAAUCUUGAAUAAAGUAUGGAUUUCCCAUCAUUGCAUCAUGGAGUUGGUUAGCCACAGAUGGGAGUUGGGUCCAGAUGCUGAGCCUGCUCAGGGUGGGCACAGGAGAAAACAGAGGCUGCUCAUGUGGGGUUGUUUUGAUGAUCACAAGAGUGGGAACAGAGUCACCAGGGGCUUCCUAAGCACCAGACACUCCAGGCUCACCAGCAACCAGUCCUCAUCACAACUUAUGAGGUGCUUGGGAUAGAACAAUGAAUAAUGUAAACAAAACACCCUGCUCAUAUGGAAAUUCCAUUACAUCUACAGAUCUACAUUACAUCUACAAGUAUAUGUAUGUGUAUGAAUGUGCAUAUGUAUGUAUUUGUCAAAUCAUGUCCACUUGAACCCAUACUGUGGCUAAAAAAGUAUUAAUAAACUGCUAUUCUUUCUUUAAAGAAUAGA
RNAcentral lists this long non-coding RNA (471 nucleotides) under Homo sapiens (human). RNAcentral describes it as "HSALNT0198785". Lineage: Eukaryota; Metazoa; Chordata; Mammalia; Primates; Hominidae. The record is from RNAcentral.